GACAGAGGAGGCAAGCGUUGUUCGGAAUCAUUGGGCUUAAAGGGCGUGCAGGCGGCGGCGCAAGUGUCGAGUGAAAUCCCAUCGCUCAACGAUGGAACGGCUCGGCAAACUGCGUCGCUUGAGGUCGGUAGAGGUGCUCGGAACUCUAGGUGGAGCGGUGAAAUGCGUAGAUAUCUAGAGGAACGCCUGAGGCGAAAGCGGGGCACUGGGCCGAUUCUGACGCUGAGACGCGAAAGCGUGGGGAGCAAACAGG
RNAcentral lists this ribosomal RNA (253 nucleotides) under uncultured bacterium. Its description in RNAcentral is "partial 16S ribosomal RNA". It matches the Rfam family "Bacterial small subunit ribosomal RNA", at positions 524 to 776 of the family's 1533-position model. The record is from RNAcentral.